RNAcentral lists this ribosomal RNA (253 nucleotides) under uncultured bacterium. RNAcentral describes it as "partial 16S ribosomal RNA". It matches the Rfam family "Bacterial small subunit ribosomal RNA", at positions 524 to 776 of the family's 1533-position model. The record is from RNAcentral.
GACGAAGGGGGCUAGCGUUGUUCGGAAUUACUGGGCGUAAAGGGCUCGUAGGCGGCCAACUAAGUCCGACGUGAAAUCCCCAGGCUUAACCUGGGAACUGCGUCGGAUACUGGAUGGCUUGAAUCCGGGAGAGGGAUGCGGAAUUCCAGGUGUAGCGGUGAAAUGCGUAGAUAUCUGGAGGAACACCGGUGGCGAAGGCGGCAUCCUGGACCGGCAUUGACGCUGAGGAGCGAAAGCCAGGGGAGCAAACGGG